UGCGCACCUCGGCAUACCAGGGCGACCGGAUCACAUCGUGUAAGCCACUGACCACCAAGGGCCAAAGCAGGACGACCAUGUCAGGGGCCCCGGGCUCCUUGGGUUGACCCAUGACUGUACCAGCGCGAACAGAGAUUCUACAGAUUUGACAGGACAGAGUCAGUCAGCAGGUCCUGUCCAGGUGAAGACACCAGCUCUGAAAUCACACAGAGUGUAAAACCCUGCAGGAUCAUCACAGUCCCUGGUGUACUUUAUCUACAUUACAUGUGUGUCCACCCCACUGGAGAAGGCAAGUAGCAGAUUUUCAAAAUAACUGCUGCAAAAUAUGGUGUUACAGACAGGUAAAUAUAUCACCCUGAUGGAUCUAUAAUAUCAGACUUCGCUCUGAUCGGUUAUCUUGUGUUCAAAAUCUUGUGUUCAGCAAACUUCUUGUUUUCCAUUCAGAAUAUUGAAGUUUGAACAUAUUCGCACACAUCCCCUCAUCUAACACCUGCUUUGCUUUUCUCUCAUUUCCCCUCCUCUGUUUCUCUAUAUAGUCAUUUUGACUUCCAUUUUUUUUAAAUUAUUGGAAGGAUCUCUCGAACAGCUGGAUGCCAGUGAUCUCAAACAUAAGGCCAUUGAUGAUCUUUGAUGAUCCUCAUCUGACCUGCAGUCUUCAUCGCUUUAGACUCACAUUUUGUCUUACCUUUCUUGGUUGACUUGUUGACCUGUUCUUCGGAGGUCGGCCCUUUUAUUCACAACAAUGUGUGUCCACAUGUACAGCGCAGGGCUGGAGCAUUUGCAGGAUUUCUGUUGUUGUUGUGUUGGCUCUUGUUACGUAUACACUGAAGCUAUGAUAAUGAUAAGACUCAUCACUUUGCUGGUCUUACUGAAUGGCAAAACACCAGUGCAUUGUGGGUUUUUUUUUCCACCACUAUCAUAAUAACACAAAGUUUUGUCUUUCUUUAGGAAACAAUUUAACAGCAACAGCAACAAUAAUAAUAAUGAUAUAAUUUAAUCAAUUAAAAUGUAAGCACUUGUGAUUGAAAAUUGCACACUGACUUGCCUUAAAGGACCAUUCCAGCGUUUGCAAGUUUAACUCUUUGUAUAUCAUGUACACAUUAUAUAUUUGCUGACCAUUCAUUCAUUCAAUUUGCACUUUUAUUUUAUUGUGAAUAUAUCAUUUCAAAUUCAAUACAGAGCCAGCUCAACUGUUACUCUUAUGCAACCCACCAAUUCUACUUCCUCUAAUCUGUCAGUCAUGUUAAAAAAUGUUAUCAGUUAGGAGCCUAUCAGGAGCCUGAUCUCAUUUUAUAUGCAGUGUCAUUAGUGACAUCAAGUCACAGCACACAGACAGACAGACAUACAGACGGAUGGAUAGAUAAUUUCACUGAUUCUGAUUCUGUCAUUUUGCACUACCCUG
This is a long non-coding RNA of Scatophagus argus, 1402 nucleotides long. RefSeq lists it as uncharacterized. The record is from RefSeq and is a predicted model, not a curated record. Lineage: Eukaryota; Metazoa; Chordata; Actinopteri; Scatophagidae. The transcript has 3 exons.